This 342-nucleotide ribosomal RNA is filed under the name uncultured Streptococcus sp. Its description in RNAcentral is "bacterial SSU rRNA". It matches the Rfam family "Bacterial small subunit ribosomal RNA", at positions 1039 to 1382 of the family's 1533-position model. The record is from RNAcentral. Lineage: Bacteria; Bacillati; Bacillota; Bacilli; Lactobacillales; Streptococcaceae.
UGGUGCAUGGUUGUCGUCAGCUCGUGUCGUGAGAUGUUGGGUUAAGUCCCGCAACGAGCGCAACCCCUAUUGUUAGUUGCCAUCAUUCAGUUGGGCACUCUAGCGAGACUGCCGGUAAUAAACCGGAGGAAGGUGGGGAUGACGUCAAAUCAACAUGCCCCUUAUGACCUGGGCUACACACGUGCUACAAUGGUUGGUACAACGAGUUGCGAGUCGGUGACGGCGAGCUAAUCUCUUAAAGCCAAUCUCAGUUCGGAUUGUAGGCUGCAACUCGCCUACAUGAAGUCGGAAUCGCUAGUAAUCGCGGAUCAGCACGCCGCGGUGAAUACGUUCCCGGGCCUU